AAUGAACGCUGGCGGCGUGCUUAACACAUGCAAGUCGAACGAGGCUGAGGGGGCAACUCCUCAGUUUAGUGGCGGACGGGUGAGUAACACGUGGGUAACCUGCCCGGAAGUGGGGAAUACCUCGGGGAAACUCGAGCUAAUACCGCAUAACAUCUUUAGGACGAUGGUCCUGACGAUCAAAGCGGGGUCGCAAGAUCUCGCGCUACCGGAUGGGCCCGCGCCUGAUUAGCAGUUGGUGGGUAACGGCUCACCAAGGCUUCGAUCAGUAACCGGCCUGAGAGGGCGAUCGGUCACACUGGGACUGAGACACGGCCCAGACUCCUACGGGAGGCAGCAGUGGGGAAUAUUGGACAAUGGGCGCAAGCCUGAUCCAGCCAUGCUGCGUGGGUGAUGAAGGCCCUAGGGUUGUAAAGCCCUUUCGGCGGGGAAGAUAAUGACGGUACCGCAGAAGAAGCCCGGCUAACUUCGUGCCAGCAGCCGCGGUAA
RNAcentral lists this ribosomal RNA (486 nucleotides) under uncultured bacterium. Its description in RNAcentral is "bacterial SSU rRNA". It matches the Rfam family "Bacterial small subunit ribosomal RNA", at positions 29 to 523 of the family's 1533-position model. The record is from RNAcentral.